CCUGGUUGAUUCUGCCAGUAUUCAUAUGCUUGUCUCAAAGAUUAAGCCAUGCAUGUCUAAGUAUAAGCAACUUUGUACUGUGAAACUGCGAAUGGCUCAUUAAAUCAGUUAUAGUUUAUUUGAUGGUUUUUGCUACAUGGAUAACUGUGGUAAUUCUAGAGCUAAUACAUGCAUUCAAGCCCCGACUUCUGGAAGGGGUGUAUUUAUUAGAUAAAAAUCAACUUUGUUGGUGAAUCAUAAUAACUUCUCGGACCGCAUGGCCUCGUGCUGGCGGUGCUUCAUUCAAAUAUCUGCCCUAUCAACUGUCGAUGGUAGGAUAGAGGCCUACCAUGGUUGCAACGGGUAACGGGGAAUAAGGGUUCGAUUCCGGAGAGGGAGCCUGAGAAACGGCUACCACAUCCAAGGAAGGCAGCAGGCGCGCAAAUUACCCAAUCCCAACACGGGGAGGUAGUGACAAUAUGUAACAAUAUACGGCCUUAUACGUCGUAUAAUUGGAAUGAGUACAAUUUAAAUCCCUUAACGAGGAACAAUUGGAGGGCAAGUCUGGUGCCAGCAGCCGCGGUAAUUCCAGCUCCAAUAGCGUAUAUUAAAGUUGUUGCAGUUAAAAAGCUCGUAGUUGGACCUUGGACCUGGACAGGCGGUCCGCCUCACGGCGAGUACUGUCUUGCUGGGUCUUUCCUCUUGGUGAUCUGUUGUUUCGGCAGCAGGGAACCAGGACCUUUACUUUGAAAAAAUUAGAGUGUUCAAAGCAGCUCGACGCCGGAAUAUAUUAGCAUGGAAUAAUAAAAUAGGACGUGCGGUUCUAUUUUGUUGGUUUUUGGAAUCGCCGUAAUGAUUAAUAGGGACAGUCGGGGGCAUUAGUACUCACAUGCU
This 873-nucleotide ribosomal RNA is filed under the name uncultured fungus. Its description in RNAcentral is "SSU rRNA". It matches the Rfam family "Eukaryotic small subunit ribosomal RNA", at positions 3 to 906 of the family's 1831-position model. Lineage: Eukaryota; Fungi. The record is from RNAcentral.